Molecule: non-coding RNA, 1077 nt
Organism: Arvicanthis niloticus (Nile rat)
Lineage: Eukaryota; Metazoa; Chordata; Mammalia; Rodentia; Muridae
Source: RefSeq, a predicted model, not a curated record
CACCAGGAAUUGCGGGAGCACUCAGAGCCAGCGCAGCAGGGGGUGGCAGCUGGGUCUCUGAAUGCUCUUUCUUAUUUUAUUAUUCUGAGAGCUGGGUCUCAUGUAGCCAAGAAACUGUGAGCAUCAACAAGUCUGUAGCGGGAAGGAGCGGGCCUAACCCAGGAGGCUCCAGUGUCCGGCCCAUACCUCCAUGUAAACCAGCCCACCCUGUCUCCCAGAACCUCCUCUGGCUGCUGGGACCUGCUCUCCGAAUUGCCAAAUGAACACCUAUCACAUCAGCAGCCCUCACUGCCUGCCUAGGAGGAAUACCAGGGCGUUCCACACUGGCUCCUGCCGCUCACUGAGGAGAGAGCCUGACCUGAAGCGAGAUGAGGAAACUGGACACCUUCCCAGCCACUCGUGAGUCAGAGGCACUGGAGACAGAGUCUGCUUCCCUCCUGGAGCUGAUGGGGGUGAAUACACACAAAACCACAGAAGAUCUUUUCCAACAGUGGUCAGUGCUGUGCAUAAAAUAAAACUGGGUGGGUACCAUGGCAACUCCUGACCAGAGAGAGAGGGCAUGGUCAUGUGUUCUCAGAUGUUACAGGAAUGAUCUUUCCGAGGACAUGGCAUUUGUGCUGAGCCCCAGAGAGGAAGAAUGUGUGAAUGGUGUGAACAGAGAAGGGAAAAGAAGCCUGCUGUACUUAAGGAAGCAGUCUGAGCACAAGGCUGGGGAAGGAAAGACCUGGGCAUGCCCUAAACAAGGGUAGAGGGGCAAGCAAUGUCAGCCCUGCAGGUCAUCCUGUCCAUAUUCUGGACUUUUACUUCACACUGAGGGAAUGAGAAACCACAUGGGGUUUGAGUAGAGAGACCAGUGAAGAAGCCAGAAGCCAACCAAAUACAUGUUGUAUACCCUAUCCAGCCCUGCAUGUUUCUGUAAAUAGGUGUGUUCAGUCAUUUACGUAUUAUCUAUGGCUGCUUCCACACCACACAAGCACUGUUGAGCACUUAUACCAAAACCCACCUUCUCUGUGCAGCCUCAACUCUUUUCUUUCUUCCUGGUCCCUUAUAAGAAAGUCUUUUGGUUCUUCAUCUAAA